This 1165-nucleotide long non-coding RNA is filed under the name Neogobius melanostomus (round goby). Its description in RNAcentral is "lncRNA (ENSNMLG00000019626.1)". The record is from RNAcentral. Lineage: Eukaryota; Metazoa; Chordata; Actinopteri; Gobiiformes; Gobiidae.
GAGGGGCAGAGUGAGGUCAGGCUCCGUCGGUUUCUGCACAUGUGUCUCAUCCACUGUUUAUGAAGAACCAGAACCAGGAAUAUUCUGGAUCUGAACCCGGAAAGAAAAACAGGACGAAGCUGAAACUGGAUUUAUGAGCAGGUCUGCACGGGACUAAACCUGGACUAAACCAGACUGUGAGCACGUUUACCCUCUGAGUCCGAGUCUGUGUGAGGACUGACCCUGGAUCAGACCUGGACCUGCUGCAGAAAAGAGUCUGAAAAGUAAAGGAGUUUUUCCUCCUGGUCAAUUCAAACAUGUGUCUCCUCUGAGCUUCUCACAGCAGAGUCACCGGGAAAGACUUUUAUAAAGCACCUGAAGGACCUCAGUGACCUCCUCAUGGCUCGGUGGUGUGUUUCCGUAGCAACAGCGCUGCUCUGUUUGGGACUGAUGUUUCUUCAGAUCAAACCGACAUCUGCGCUGGACUCCGCCCACACAGAACCUGGACAUCACUUCCUGUCUGAUGUCACCGUGAUCCGUCCAAUCAGAACGGACUCUAAGGGGCGUGCCCUUCCUGGCCCUGCCUCCUGGCCUCGCCACAGGAAUUAUUUUACAACCUGACUCUGCAGGGAGCGGAGCUGCACUUUCAUCUGCGAAUCAGCACGCGGCUCACGGCGCCUGGCGCCACCCUCCUGUGGGAGGAGUCAGGCGAGUCUGAGCCAAUCACGGAACAGCACUGCCUCUACUCAGGCCACACCUCCAACGAACCGCGAAUCAGCGCCGCCGUCAACGUCUGCGACGGACUGGAGGGCGUGAUACUGACCCCUGCUGGAGACUUUUACAUCGAGCCGCUGCUGAAGAACGGCUUGGACCUGGACCAGGACCAUGUGAUCCACAGACCGGCUCAGCAGCAACCAGCCAAUCAGAGCGCAGAGCAGGAGGCUCCGCCCACAGACUUCCUCCGAGGUCCAGUGUUUGGUGCUGACGUCCUGAGAUUCCGAGGCUCCUGGUCCGGUCUGGGGUCCGGUCUCAGGUUCAGUUUUGGUUCUGGUCGAGACUCAGCGCAGAUUCUGAAGAGGAGACGGAGGUCGACUGAAGCAGAACUUUUCCACAUCGAGGUCAGUCCCUGCUCUGAGGCUUUGACUCGUUUAGUUUAUUAGUUUAUUAAAUUAUUAGUUUAUUGGUU